GACGAACGCUGGCGGCGUGCUUAACACAUGCAAGUCGAACGGAAAGGCCCUGCUUGCGGUGUGCUCGAGUGGCGAACGGGUGAGUAACACGUGGGUGAUUUGCCUCUUACUUUGGGAUAAGCCUUGGAAACUAGGUCUAAUACUUAAUAGUACCAUGCUUGAGCUGCUGUGGUGGAUAGAUUAGUUUCGGUAUGGGAUGAGGUCUCGGCCUAUCAGCGUGUUGUUUGGGUAAUGGCCUACCAAGGCGUCACCGGGUGGCCGGCCUGACAGGGUGGGCGGCCACAUUGAGACUGAGAUGCGGCCCAGCCGCAGACGGGAGGCAGCAGUGGGGAAUAUUGCAACGUGGGCGCACCGCGGGUGUAGUGAAGCCGCGUGGGGGGUGACGGCCUGCUGGUUGGAAACUACAUUCAGCCAUGAAGAAGCGCUUGUGGUGACGGUAGUGGUAGAAGAAGCACCGGCUAACUACGUG
Molecule: ribosomal RNA, 469 nt
Filed under: uncultured bacterium
Lineage: Bacteria
Description: partial 16S ribosomal RNA
Rfam family: Bacterial small subunit ribosomal RNA
Source: RNAcentral